This 510-nucleotide ribosomal RNA is filed under the name uncultured bacterium. Its description in RNAcentral is "partial 16S ribosomal RNA". It matches the Rfam family "Bacterial small subunit ribosomal RNA", at positions 28 to 507 of the family's 1533-position model. The record is from RNAcentral.
GACGAACGCUGGCGGCGUGCUUAACACAUGCAAGUCGAACGAAGAGCGAUGGACGCUUGCUUCUAUCAAUCUUAGUGGCGAACGGGUGAGUAACGCGUAAUCAACCUGCCCUUCAGAGGGGGACAACAGUUGGAAACGACUGCUAAUACCGCAUACGAUCUAAUCUCGGCAUCGAGGAUAGAUGAAAGGUGGCCCCUACAUGUAAGCUAUCACUGAAGGAGGGGAUUGCGUCUGAUUAGCUAGUUGGAGGGGUAACGGCCCACCAAGGCGAUGAUCAGUAGCCGGUCUGAGAGGAUGAACGGCCACAUUGGGACUGAGACACGGCCCAGACUCCUACGGGAGGCAGCAGUGGGGAAUCUUCCGCAAUGGACGAAAGUCUGACGGAGCAACGCCGCGUGAGUGAUGACGGCCUUCGGGUUGUAAAGCUCUGUUAAUCGGGACGAAAGGCCUUCUUGCGAAUAGUGAGAAGGAUUGACGGUACCGGAAUAGAAAGCCACGGCUAACUACGUG